AGGGGAGUGCCGGAUCCUGGGCUGUGUCUCCCGGCGCCUUGGGCUCCGGGGCCUGCACCACUGGAAUCGUGCUCCUGGAGCUGUGCAGUCCCCU
This 94-nucleotide microRNA precursor is filed under the name Canis lupus familiaris (dog). Its description in RNAcentral is "mir-8799 microRNA precursor family". It matches the Rfam family "mir-8799 microRNA precursor family". Lineage: Eukaryota; Metazoa; Chordata; Mammalia; Carnivora; Canidae. The record is from Rfam by way of RNAcentral. RNAcentral also lists the same sequence under 1 other name.